UCUCCUACCCUAUGAUUUAUCUGGUCUUGAUUUGGCUCCUCCCUUCCCUCUUCCACUCCCCAUGAUUUUUCGUUCUUGUUUCUGUAGAAGUUCCUGUAUCUAUGCAUAUAGGGUGUUUGAGGAAAAUCCAAGCAGUGUACAUGUACAACUUAAUUCCUUAUUAUGUAUGUUGCCUAAUAAUCCACCAAAAAUUGCCUGCAAUCAAAGAUGACUUGCCCAUAUAAUAUUUGCAUUUCUCAAUUUUGUGACUUUCAUUUGAAAGCUAUCACUAACGAGAUGUUUGAGUACAUGUCUAGGAAAGUAACAUGUGUUAGAUUGCUUGAGACACCCAUCACAUAGUAUUUCUCAGAUUGGAAGCUCAUAUACAGGUCUCUUGGUUAUUUGAGAAAAUGAGAAGUAUUAGAUGAUUUCAGUAUCGUGCUUACCUAUCAAGAGUAGGGCCGUUCUGCUGAUCAAGAGCACAGCCAGCGGGGCAUUUAGGAUACUAGAAAAUUAUCUCCAGGUAUAUUUCCGAAGUUCGUGGUAGUCGGCCAGGUCCUACCAGCACCUGGGAACAAAGCAUCGACGGCGGUAACCUCGCUAGCUCCACACUGUCCUAGAAUUUUGGGUGGAAGAAGCAUGAGUUUGUCCGAGCUUGAUGUCAUAUCGUUAUUUGGUAUGUCCCUUCGUAGGCCACCUCACUCAUUUGCUGGUUUGCUCCUGCACUCCGUCUCACAUCUCCUCUCCUCGGUGCUCAACCCGAGGAGUGCGGGAUGCUGUUGUGCGCCCCCAUUCCUUGCUCUGUCUGAUGUACAAGCUAUGGCGGAUCUCGCGGAUGACCGCAACCUGAAAGCUGCAAGUUUCGAUCAUGGAGCCAUCACAUUCCAUCAAGGUCGCACCGUUCGCCUUGAAUCUGUUUGAUGUUUGACAUGCCAUCUUAUUGAUGUAGGGGUCGUUAUGUCCAUGAUCACCGGGAGAGCCAUCUCCCUGGUUGCUCAAAGCGACCAGCGGAUGUUAGACACACUUGUCUGGGUUGGAUCUAACAAGGAGGUGCCAACUCUCUCAGCACGUCUUUCUAACUCUAAUAUUUGGUUUGUGCAUUUCAUAUAUAGGUGGAUUAGUAUUUGGAAUUGAUAUAAUCCAUAGGCAUAUUUCUUAUACAAUUGAAAAUGCAGAGUAGGGGCUGAGAUGUACACUAUAUAUGUUUAUACCCAUUUGGUUGUAAAGGUACAGUCAAGAUGAACAAUUCAAUAUUUUACUAUUUGGUAAUGUAAAUUAUGAACCAUGUCGCACCAUUUUUUUCAUAGCAGCAAUGUUUCUCAGUAUAUAUUGGAAAACUGUGUUUGAACAGGUCAAUUGCAAAGAACACAUGAGACUUACAUCCGAUAUAGAACAUAAUUGUGGUUCAUGGGUAAGAGACCAGGGGUACGAUCCUACAGCGGCAGCUCUCCACGGUGGUGGCGAGGAAUCAGUUGAUAGGAUGUUGGGCAAGAUCGAAUUUCCCAACCUACAUGAACAUCUUAUCCUUUUAAAGGACUUAUAGUCAUUCGUGGCUUGGAUUCAACUAAUAUGUGAGUUAUUCUCUUUUCCAGUUUCUCUCUGAAUCUACAAAUCUGUGUGAUAGUUGAUGCAGUUCAUUCCCUUGAAAAUAUCAUCUGGUUAUCAAGAAGGCCACCAUAGUUGAUGUCAGUGGUGACUGGGGACAUGCUACUUUAGCGAGAGGUUGAUCUUUUUUCCUUUGCAUGAAUGACUUCAAGUGGCCGUGUUUUGUCUCAGCAUAGCUACUAAUCCUUAUAUCAUUUUAGCACACACUCCCUCCAUUCCUAACUAAGAUGUUUUUGGAGUUCACUUUGCUGGAUCAGCUCGCAGUGAGCAUGCGUGUCAGACCUUGGCUUGAGCAGAGAUGAGCAGCAUGUUCUAAAUAAUGUGUGUCAGACCGCCGCUCGCACCGCCGUGGCGCGCCGUGAUGUCGCCGGAAGGAUCCGCCGGUCGAGCUCCGUCUGUCCUGCACGUUUCUACGCCCGUGAGCUUCUCCUCCACGAUCCCCACUUGCUCCUGCUGCUUCGUAAAUGAUCUUACCGAAGCGACAUCAUCAAAUCUCGUCUCAACAAAGGAGCCAUAAGACGUAGAAAUAAGAGCAUUCAUGGUAUGAACUAAUCUCCUUAAUCACCGUAUCCACCUCACCCGAAUGGAACAAGGAGAAGCUUGCUGCCUUUUCUUUUUGGUACAUCGAUUUUUGUAAAUCAUGCUGCUCGAUUCAUGGCCCCCUCCUAGCAAGAAUUCAGAGAUAGGGCCAAAGUGACAAUCAGAUUCUUUCCAUGAUGCUAGAAAGAGACAAGAAAAUAACAAAGAGGUUAUGGCAUUGUAAAAUUUCCUAAAUGAUAAGUAUCUUCACUAGGCUCCAACAUGUUGGCCACCCUGCCGAAAACCAUGUUAGUUCUUUAUAGCCUGGUUAGGUUUUGCUUGAAUGUUCUUCGGAUUUGCAGUUACUGUCUGAAGCAUGAAAUUGAGUAGAAAAUUAC
Lolium perenne is the source of this 2501-nucleotide non-coding RNA. Lineage: Eukaryota; Viridiplantae; Streptophyta; Magnoliopsida; Poales; Poaceae. The record is from RefSeq and is a predicted model, not a curated record.